AAGGCUUUAAGUUAAACUAAACUAAUAACCUUCAAAGCUAGAAAUAAAGAAUUUACCUUUAAGCCUUA
Molecule: transfer RNA, 68 nt
Filed under: Therea petiveriana
Lineage: Eukaryota; Metazoa; Arthropoda; Insecta; Blattodea; Corydiidae
Also listed under: 2 other names
Description: tRNA-Trp
Source: RNAcentral